UGGUGGGUUGCCUUGUCAGGUUGAUUCCGGUAACGAACGAGACCUCUGCCUGCUAAAUAGUCAGCUUCGCACCUGCGGAGCGCGGACUUCUUAGAGGGACUAUUGGCGUUUAGCCAAUGGAAGUUGGAGGCGAUAACA
Molecule: ribosomal RNA, 138 nt
Filed under: uncultured eukaryote
Lineage: Eukaryota
Description: partial 18S ribosomal RNA
Rfam family: Eukaryotic small subunit ribosomal RNA
Source: RNAcentral